AAUCAACGCUGGCGGCGUGCCUCAGACAUGCAAGUCGAACGAUUAAAGCUCCCUUCGGGGAGUGCAUAAAGUGGCGCACGGGUGAGUAACACGUAAGUAAUCUACCCUCGGGUGGGGAAUAACAUCGGGAAACCGAUGCUAAUACCGCAUAAUGCAGCGGCACCGCAAGGUGACAGUUGUUAAAGAUUUAUUGCCUGGGGAGGAGCUUGCGGCAGAUUAGCUUGUUGGUAAGGAACGGCUUACCAAGGCUACGAUCUGUAUCCGGUCUAAGAGGACGGUCGGACACACUGACACUGAAUAACGGGUCAGACUCCUACGGGAGGCAGCAGUCGGGAAUUUUGGGCAAUGGGGGAAACCCUGACCCAGCAACGCCGCGUGAA
Molecule: ribosomal RNA, 380 nt
Filed under: uncultured bacterium
Lineage: Bacteria
Description: bacterial SSU rRNA
Rfam family: Bacterial small subunit ribosomal RNA
Source: RNAcentral